UUACUACUGAAUAUAAAUGAAUACUACUGAAUAUAAGUUAACUGCAUGGUAAGGUGUUUAUAAUUUGUCUUGCAAGUAGCUACAAGUUCUUGGGUACUUAUUUUGAUAUGCUCUCUUUAGUUCAUACAUCUUCAGAUAGAGAAACAGUAGUCAAGGAGAGGAAUCCAAGGAGCUUCACCCACAGCAUAUCUUACUUAGUGCACGAGAUCCUGACUUUGAGAUGAUGCUGUAAUGGUAUGGGAUACGCAUUGCACACACUCCUCUUACUAUGUGACAGUGACGCUCCUUUCAUCAAGAAGUGAGGUCUAUGUUCCCUCUCCUUGAAUCUAGACAGAGCUAUGGGUAUGGCAAAGUGAUACUGUGAGACAUCCAAGGCCUAAAAGUUGACCCAGCUUCCAGAGGAUCUGUCAAGCUGCUUCUCUUAGAACCCAGCCUUGUGCUGUGAGAAAGCUCCAGUCACAUGGAGAGGCCACAAAUGAGCCAUUAAAUGACAGAACCAACCACCACACAUGCAAAUGAAGAAGCCUUCGAGAUGUCUUCAGUAUAGGUCACUGUCUGGUUGCAGCCACAUGAGAGACCCUGAGCAAGAACCAUCCAGCUAAGCCCAGUUAUCCCUCAGAACCAUGAGAG
RNAcentral lists this long non-coding RNA (630 nucleotides) under Pan troglodytes (chimpanzee). RNAcentral describes it as "long non-coding RNA NONPTRT017221". Lineage: Eukaryota; Metazoa; Chordata; Mammalia; Primates; Hominidae. The record is from RNAcentral.